AGGGAAUUUUCCACAAUGGACGAAAGUCUGAUGGAGCAACGCCGCGUGAACGAUGAAGGUCUUCGGAUUGUAAAGUUCUGUUGUCAGGGACGAACAAGUACCGUUCGAACAGGGCGGUACCUUGACGGUACCUGACGAGAAAGCCACGGCUAACUACGUGCCAGCAGCCGCGGUAAUACGUAGGUGGCAAGCGGUGUCCGGAAUUAUUGGGCGUAAAGCGCGCGCAGGCGGCUAUGUAAGUCUGGUGUUAAAGCCCGGGGCUCAACCCCGGUUCGCAUUGGAAACUGCGUAGCUUGAGUGCAGAAGAGGAAAGCGGUAUUCCACGUGUAGCGGUGAAAUGCGUAGAGAUGUGGAGGAACACCAGUGGCGAAGGCGGCUUUCUGGUCUGUAACUGACGCUGAGGCGCGAAAGCGUGGGGAGCAAAC
RNAcentral lists this ribosomal RNA (425 nucleotides) under uncultured bacterium. RNAcentral's name for it is "bacterial SSU rRNA". It matches the Rfam family "Bacterial small subunit ribosomal RNA", at positions 356 to 773 of the family's 1533-position model. The record is from RNAcentral.